Molecule: non-coding RNA, 32 nt
Filed under: Mus musculus (house mouse)
Lineage: Eukaryota; Metazoa; Chordata; Mammalia; Rodentia; Muridae
Source: RNAcentral
UNGACACCCAAGCCUCAGUUCAGAUGAGCCAC